UGGGGGAUUUUGCACAAUGGGCGCAAGCCUGAUGCAGCGACGCCGCGUGAGGGAUGAAGGCCUUCGGGUUGUAAACCUCUUUCGCUGGGUUGAAAGGCCAUGCUUUGGGUGUGGUUGAUUUGAACUGGUAAAGAAGUACCGGCUAACUACGUGCCAGCAGCCGCGGUAAUACGUAGGGUACUAGCGUUGUCCGGAUUUAUUGGGCGUAAAGGGCUUGUAGGUGGUUUGUCGCGUCUGUCGUGAAAUCCUGUGGCUUAACCAUGGGCUUGCGGUGGGUACGGGCAGGCUUGAGUGCGGUAGGGGGGACUGGAAUUCCUGGUGUAGCGGUGGAAUGCGCAGAUAUCAGGAGGAACACCGGUGGCGAAGGCGGCUCUCUGGGCCGUUACUGACACUGAGGAGCGAAAGCGUGGGGAGCGAACAGG
RNAcentral lists this ribosomal RNA (422 nucleotides) under Fusobacteriota bacterium. RNAcentral's name for it is "Fusobacteria bacterium partial 16S ribosomal RNA". It matches the Rfam family "Bacterial small subunit ribosomal RNA", at positions 355 to 776 of the family's 1533-position model. Lineage: Bacteria; Fusobacteriati; Fusobacteriota. The record is from RNAcentral.